Molecule: non-coding RNA, 4591 nt
Organism: Paramormyrops kingsleyae
Lineage: Eukaryota; Metazoa; Chordata; Actinopteri; Osteoglossiformes; Mormyridae
Source: RefSeq, a predicted model, not a curated record
GAGCUUCAAGAAAAGUGUGGUGAUGAAGAUGCACAAACUGACAACAGUACAGAAUCAGACGGGCCUGCAGUUACAGACUUUCUGUAAGGGGGCUAAAAGGCAGCACAGGAAACACUCGGCGCUGGAUGGAUUGUGUGGGGCCACGAGCUCGGUGGGGCUUCACAAGCAGGAGGGAGAGAAGAGGAAUCGGGGGCCGCAGGGGUCAACUGCCUAGUAAAGACUCAUCCCAGAUUUUUAUUGUAGGCCAUUGGGGACAUUUAGAAAAUAGAUUAUUGUUAACAAGUCUAAUAAAAUGGCGGCUAUGGAAAGUGAAGGCCAGCCCUAAUUACCCAUUUCCAGAGAAUGAAAUACACCUUCCAUUUACACCAUGUAAUUAAGCAUUCAGUGCUUUAAAACUGACUUAUUAGACAAUUAAACCUGCAUCAUCAUCAUCAUCAUCAUCAUUUUAUUUAGUCUUUCUUCGGUUUGGUACUGUGCACUUUUAACCAAAUAGCCGGCAGAAAUUUAAUUUUCUCCUGAUUAAUGCUUAUGUACAAAAUCAAUUAUGUGCAAAAUCAGUGUUAGGCUUGGAGCCUCUUGGCCGCUGUGCCUCGCAGGAUGCUGAUUGGCUGUCUUGGCAAGCGGAACUCUGGCCAGUCACAGGAAAGGCCCCCCCGCCCCCACUCCGAGCUCGUAAGUCACUCAUCCUCUGCAGGAUUUCUGGUUUGGACUACAGUAUUUAUAAAACUGUAGAAAUGGGGGGGAGUUUCCAUUGUGAAAGUGUCUACUAAGCAUCAUAAAAAAGGGCAACUUUCAUUUUGAUUUUGCCCCAAGUCUGGUUCCAUUUCCCCCUUAUUCCCAAAAAUAAGUCUUAAAAUGAAACCCAGGCCCACAGAUAAAUCCCAGCAUCCCGCAAUAAGCGACAGGGACCCACUGGUGUCCUGGUGCUUCACCACCUGCGGCAAACCCCACUAACUUUGCUGUCCAAUUUCACUUUUUCUUGGAUGGCGUGUGGCAGGGGGUGGGGGCCAAAGAGACCUCUAGAGCUCUCUUACGUCGCCCCCCCCUCCCCCACCCAGACAAUGGUGCCCAAGGAGUCUGUAGGAGCUGAAAUCCAGGCUAAAUAAGUACAUACUGUUUGACUCACAGGACACAGGCCAGCUGCUCAGUAUCAGAAUGGGCUCCUUCCCAUGAUUAUGCAGCUUCUGGUAUAAAUACAGCCUUAGCAAGCAGCACAGGAAACCAUUAGAUCUCUGCCAUCAGCAUAUUCUAUCUUCUGUGAGUUAACUAUUGUUAGGAAACAUUUUAUUACUACUACUGUAGGCAGCUCUAUGGAAACAGUCUUGCAAAUUGACUUUUUUUGAAGUUCCUUAAUCUUUGAAGGCAGUCUUCCUUCUGUGUUUUCUGCUUCUGAAUUACAAUGAAUGCAACUUACAAAAUCGUUCCCUAAACUCACACUGUGCACUUCAGGACCAGCCUCCCCUAACAUGCUCCUGUGCCUUUUUAUGAGCAAUAAAAACGCGCAUCUACAUGUUGGCAAUGGAAAGUUUUUCCAAAGGAACCUUUGUCUUGAUAAAAUUUCAGCAGUCGUAACUCAAACAAAUAUGACAUUUACAGCAGCCAUUCAAAGCAAAACAAAUACUCCUUGAAAUAGUUCCUUUUCCUUUUAGGAGAUUAUUCCCCUGGAUAAGACUGAGAUGGGUCAGGAUAAUCCUAAAAGUACCUUAUUGCUGUUUGACUGUAACCUGAAUGCAUGUGGUCUUGCUAAUAAUUAAUUCUGUCGGAGGAUGAUUUUUGUUUAACGAUUUAUAAAUCAAACACCAUUAAAAUCCUACAACAAACAGAGAAAUAGAUGGCUUUUUGGAGGAAAUAUGUGUCACCCAUAGAUCUCAAAAUAAAAGAACUAUUUUAUGUAAGUACUGCCAAGAAUUCAGUACCCAGCAACGAUUACUCAUGCCUUCAGAAAAUGUACUUUAGGUUAUUAAAAUAAGAAGAAGUGCUGUGGGAAUGAAAAGCGUAUGAAAUGAGAAUGUAUCUUGAACCCAGUGGUUGGUUGUAAAGAGCGCUUUCACCAUGCAUAACGUGAAAUCCUGUUAUUAAAACAUGCCACAGUGAGGAAAUGCUGUGAGUAUCAUGUUUAAGCUCAUGAAUAUCAUGCGGAUUUUAGGGUGGGAUAAUAUUACUCUGCAUUAGCCCCCAGACAUAUGCAGGUAAUUUAAAUCUGUGUAAGCACAGGCAUGUAUGAUCUCCCUCAGACAGCCAGUGAGGGAGAACUGGUUGACUUCACUGGCUGCUCUUUAUAACUGACUUCACUCUUUGUCUCAUUGUUUAUGAUUUUGUCAUGAGUCAGAAUAGCCUUCCACGGGCCUCCAGACAACACGAUCUGACUUCCAGAUGAGGAAUGUCGCUGUAAAUAUUCAAAUUGUUAUUGAGAUCAACCGUCCGCUAUUAAGAUCCGGACCUGGGCUCGGUGCCGUUUGCCCCGUCAGGAGGGAGUCUCACACUGACUCUGUACCAGAGACCUCCAGCAUGCUGUUGUAUCAAACCACAGAACAGCACUGGGCCAUCAGGGUGAGCGAGAUGGUUAAACUGCUCUUUCUCGUCAGGUGUGCUGCUGCUCAGUGUCAGGGAAAAGAUAUAUGAUGUGUAGCAUACUUUAUUAUUCACCUUACAUGUUACAAGGCACUUUCCCAUUUAUAGCCCAUAAUCUUGCUGAAGUGAAGUUGAGUUUAGUCUUGUAUGGUAUUUCCUCUGCCUGACAUGAAGGUUCUAAAAAAGUGCAUUUGAGGUGAAAAGUCUUUGCAGUACAUAUCUUAAAUGCAAUCUGAAUGAACUCCAUCAGUGUCACCAUAAUAUGGAUCCUGUAUAAUCCUGCAGAAACAAGCCUGUUUAAUGACGGUCCAAAUGUUCUUCCUAAAGAUUCUUAUCUGCCUGAAUUGAAGCAGGUUCUGUCACGGCUUCUCCCCCAAAUCUGUUAAGACUCCGAAUUGUAUACCAGUCUCAUUAUACAUCAGACCUGCCACUACACUGGUCACUUUAUCCAAAGGACACUGCACCUUUUGCUACAUCUGUGUCACAACUGUUAUAUUUAUUCAUUUAUUUGCUUGUUUAUUUAUUCAUUCACUUUUGUAAAUCAAGAUUUCUAGAUUUCUGCUUUCUCUGCCAUAACCGGGUUCCCCAAAUCCCCUGUGUGUUAAUGUUUGUAUAUUCUGUAUUAUUUAUAUUUAUUAGUUGUCAAUCUACUUUUUGUGCCACUGUAUGCUGUGAAUUGUAUACAGAUGGUGUGACAAGAAAGACCCACUUGACUUGAUAUUGCUUUAUUAUUGCAUGAUAUGAUAAAAAGCAGAAUACCUGACCAUUCGGGUAUAGAAUUUUGCAUAUAUAUUAACAUGUAUGGUUUUGAAAUUUUUAUUGCGCAAGGAAAAGGUGGAGCUUUGACACAUUUAGCAGAAAUGUAUCAGUCAAAGCAAAUGAUGGCGUUUGUUCUUAAUGAGUUUGCUUUUCUUAAGUGGGAAGUGACACAAAGCCAAGCCUGAGAGUAACCAACCCUGCAGCACCGCAAGGCACACGGCCUGCAAAUUCCCCCAAAUGCUUCUGUAACAGAGACCCCCGGCUUCAUUAAAAACUGGCAUGACAUGGAAAGGAAUAUCACCUUCCAGGCAGGCUGGGGCAGGACAGAUCAAAGGGCAUGUUGAGCCAAUCACACUGGAUCCAUGUUACCCCGGCUGCAUAUUGUGGAUAUUACACCAAGGUCGUGUCAGUAUAGGAGACUUUGUAUCGCUAAUAGUCAACUCCAUAUUACUGUACUUAGGGACUUUUCAUUAACCCAGUUCAGUUAUGACACAUUUUAUGUUGCUGGAUCCACAUGAGCUGGCUUGUAAAAAUGAGGCUUUGUAAACUGAGAUGGACUAAUGUAUUACAUGUAAGCCUUAUAUAAUAAUUACAAUAAGAGGACUGCCUUUCAGCUUAAUGAAAACUCUCAAACCGUGAAAUCAGAAAGAAAAAAAUAGUGUGCUCACAAUUUCUAGCCUGAAUUAUCCCAGUUUUGAAGGUCAAAUGUGGCUGAAGCUGUUUGAUGUGCUGGAAAUGACUAUGCAUGUAACAGACCUGCAUUAUGAUGACAUGAGAAGAGUUAUGUGGUUCUGGUUCACAUUACCGCCUUUUUGCUGUCAGUUAGACUUUAUCUGUGGGCUGGGCCUCAACGGGGGGGAUGCGGGGGGGUGGAGAGGGACUGUUUCAGGACCACUGACAAUGUUGGCCGGAUGCCAUUAGGGGGGCGUUACUUACAGUAUACCAAAAUGAAUGGUCUGACAUUUGUCAGACCACUGCAUGUAUGAUAUUUCAGCACUAUGUGUCUGUUAGUUUUAACUUGCACAAUAAAGACUUUCCUGGUGGGAUUAUCUCUUCUCUUUGUGCAGCACCAUGAGAUGCAGAGUUUUGUUAUUAUAUAUAUUAUUAUAUAUAUAUUUUUUUAGUUUGACAGAACAAUGUUACCUGCAGCAAAUUGUACUUAAUACCAUGUUUAAAUGAUAGAAUGUUUAUGUUGUGACAGUGGCUGACAGCAAUGGAGAGAUUCCAGAGUCGAUGCGCUAAAAUAAAACAAAAAAAAGUU